This 478-nucleotide ribosomal RNA is filed under the name uncultured bacterium. RNAcentral describes it as "bacterial SSU rRNA". It matches the Rfam family "Bacterial small subunit ribosomal RNA", at positions 32 to 507 of the family's 1533-position model. The record is from RNAcentral.
ACGACGCUGGCGGCGUGCUUAAUACAUGCAAGUCAACGACUUUUAGAGUAGCAAUAUUUAAAGGAGUGGCGCACGGGUGAGUAACACGUAGGUAAUCUGCCUUCAGGACUGACACAACUCGUCGAAAAGACGGGCUAAUAUCAGAUAAUGCAGCGGCUCCGCAUGGAGACAGUUGUUAAAGUACAAGCGCCUGAAGAUGAGCCUGCGGUCCAUUAGCUAGUUGGUAGAGUAACAGCCUACCAAGGCAACGAUGGAUAGCUGGUCUGAGAGGAUGAUCAGCCACACUGGAACUGAGACACGGUCCAGACUCCUACGGGAGGCAGCAGUAAGGAAUAUUGCUCAAUGGCCGAAAGGCUGAAGCAGCAACGCCGCGUGAAGGAUGAAUGGCCUUUGGCCUGUAAACUUCUGUAAAAGGGAAAACAAUCAGGCAUGUCCUGAUUUGAUUGUACCUUUGAAGUAAGCCCCGGCUAACUACGUG